RNAcentral lists this ribosomal RNA (253 nucleotides) under uncultured Eubacteriales bacterium. Its description in RNAcentral is "uncultured Clostridiales bacterium partial 16S ribosomal RNA". It matches the Rfam family "Bacterial small subunit ribosomal RNA", at positions 524 to 776 of the family's 1533-position model. Lineage: Bacteria; Bacillati; Bacillota; Clostridia; Eubacteriales. The record is from RNAcentral.
UACGUAGGGGGCAAGCGUUAUCCGGAAUUACUGGGUGUAAAGGGAGCGUAGACGGUAAUGUAAGUCUGGAGUGAAAGGCGGGGGCCCAACCCCCGGACUGCUCUGGAAACUAUGUUACUGGAGUGCAGGAGAGGUAAGCGGAAUUCCUAGUGUAGCGGUGAAAUGCGUAGAUAUUAGGAGGAGCACCAGUGGCGAAGGCGGCUUGCUGGACGAUGACUGACGUUGAGGCUCGAAAGCGUGGGUAUCGAACAGG